AUUGAACGCUGGCGGCAGGCCUAACACAUGCAAGUCGAGCGGAUGAAGGGAGCUUGCUCCUGGUUUCAGCGGCGGACGGGUGAGUAAUGCCUAGGAAUCUGCCUGGUAGUGGGGGAUAACGUCCGGAAACGGGCGCUAAUACCGCAUACGUCCUGAGGGGGAAGCGGGGGGGGGUUCGGAAAGUUCCCGAUCGUAGGGACGUAGGCGGGAUUAGUUAGUUGGUGGGUUGAGGGCCUGCUAAGCAGAGGAUCGGUAGCUGGCCGGAGAGGAUGGUCAGUCACACUGGAACUGGAACACGGUCCAUACUCCUACGGGAGGCAGCAGUGGGGAAUAUUGGACAGUGGGCGAAAGCCUUAUACAGCCAUGCCGCGUGUGUGAAGAAGGUCUUGGGAUUGUAAAGCACUUUAAGUUGGGAGGAAGGGCAGUAAGUUAAUACCUUGCUGUUUUGACGUUACCAACAGAAUAAGCACCGGCUAACUUCGUG
RNAcentral lists this ribosomal RNA (484 nucleotides) under uncultured bacterium. Its description in RNAcentral is "partial 16S ribosomal RNA". It matches the Rfam family "Bacterial small subunit ribosomal RNA", at positions 30 to 507 of the family's 1533-position model. The record is from RNAcentral.